AGCAGCUCCAGCGUCCCGAGGUCACGACUGUUUCGAUCCAGGAAUUAAAACGCUUUUUCCCUGCUGAGAAACCCAUUAUUCUCCAUAUCAGCAGAGCUUCCAAAGCACUUUGCGGGAAAGAUUGGAUUAUUGUUGGAUGACGAAACCGCCUGGAAAAGUUACGGGGACAGAUCCUUGGCAUGCAUCAAAGCCAAGAGCGCCGGAUCCAGCGACGUGGAUGGGGAGGAGAGCCCCAGUGAGCAGAGCACAUAGCGAGCAGGCAUAGCACUUCGUUCCAUUGAAGAUGUAAUUCCAAGCGCCUGACAUCGCAGCAUUUCGUGGGGUGGGCUGAUGGAAAGGAGCUCAGGGAUCCGGAGCAGGGCGGUGAGGAAUGGUGUCGGAAACCACACGUUCACUUUAUUGAGAAGAGUGGUGAGAUGCCUAUAAAUCUUUCCAAGAGCAUUUCAGGAAACGAGCAGCAGUGUUCUUAGAAGGAAGCCAGUGCCAGCCAAGCUGAGAAAAAUCUGGCUUGAGCAACGCAGAGAGAAGGAAGGAAUGGAGGAAGGAAGCCAGCCAGCAGGGGAAGGUCGAGCUCCAAGUGUCCAGAACAUCCACUCUGCCAAGAGACAACCUGUUGGUGCGCAUCAGGACGUUCAAGGCAUGCUCCAGCAAUCCCAUGGCCAACACACACAACUGAAGUGACCACACAGGGCAUCCCUCCUCAGGCUGACCAUGGUCUGAUCUGUCUCCUCCAUGUGCUCGUGCCCAACUCCUGCUGAGCCCCAAGGAGCUGGAGGCAUUGCCCAAGGGAGCGAGGUGACUCCUUGGAGAACAACUCCAAUUGCUUCCUCCAUUGGUUCCUAUUGCCUUUUAUCUCCGCACCGAUCCACCUCCUUGCGUUUUGCACAGUGUCAUUGGAAGCUGAAGCUCACAGUGGGCUCAGCAAUUAGUGGUAGCACAGAAAUAUAAGGCAAAAACAAGUCUUGCUAAUGAGCUGACACAUUAAACAAUGAGUCACACUUCCAUAAGGAGCCCAAAUCGAGUUAUAACCCUAAAUAAACAAGCUGUGAGAAACAGUUUAC
RNAcentral lists this long non-coding RNA (1061 nucleotides) under Gallus gallus (chicken). RNAcentral describes it as "lncRNA (ENSGALG00010017935.1)". The record is from RNAcentral. Lineage: Eukaryota; Metazoa; Chordata; Aves; Galliformes; Phasianidae.